RNAcentral lists this ribosomal RNA (277 nucleotides) under uncultured prokaryote. Its description in RNAcentral is "partial 16S ribosomal RNA". It matches the Rfam family "Bacterial small subunit ribosomal RNA", at positions 524 to 800 of the family's 1533-position model. The record is from RNAcentral.
UACGUAGGGUGCGAGCGUUGUCCGGAUUUAUUGGGCGUAAAGAGCUCGUAGGCGGUUUGUCGCGUCGGCCGUGAAAACCGAGAGCUUAACUCUUUGCGUGCGGUCGAUACGGGCAGACUUGAGUUCGGCAGGGGAGACUGGAAUUCCUGGUGUAGCGGUGAAAUGCGCAGAUAUCAGGAGGAACACCGGUGGCGAAGGCGGGUCUCUGGGCCGAUACUGACGCUGAGGAGCGAAAGCGUGGGGAGCGAACAGGAUUAGAUACCCCCGUAGUCCCUGA